Molecule: ribosomal RNA, 550 nt
Filed under: Pantoea vagans
Lineage: Bacteria; Pseudomonadati; Pseudomonadota; Gammaproteobacteria; Enterobacterales; Erwiniaceae
Description: bacterial SSU rRNA
Rfam family: Bacterial small subunit ribosomal RNA
Source: RNAcentral
GGGUGACGAGUGGCGGACGGGUGAGUAAUGUCUGGGGAUCUGCCCGAUAGAGGGGGAUAACCACUGGAAACGGUGGCUAAUACCGCAUAACGUCGCAAGACCAAAGAGGGGGACCUUCGGGCCUCUCACUAUCGGAUGAACCCAGAUGGGAUUAGCUAGUAGGCGGGGUAAUGGCCCACCUAGGCGACGAUCCCUAGCUGGUCUGAGAGGAUGACCAGCCACACUGGAACUGAGACACGGUCCAGACUCCUACGGGAGGCAGCAGUGGGGAAUAUUGCACAAUGGGCGCAAGCCUGAUGCAGCCAUGCCGCGUGUAUGAAGAAGGCCUUCGGGUUGUAAAGUACUUUCAGCGGGGAGGAAGGCGAUGCGGUUAAUAACCGCGUCGAUUGACGUUACCCGCAGAAGAAGCACCGGCUAACUCCGUGCCAGCAGCCGCGGUAAUACGGAGGGUGCAAGCGUUAAUCGGAAUUACUGGGCGUAAAGCGCACGCAGGCGGUCUGUUAAGUCAGAUGUGAAAUCCCCGGGCUUAACCUGGGAACUGCAUUGAAAC